Molecule: long non-coding RNA, 361 nt
Filed under: Mytilus galloprovincialis (Mediterranean mussel)
Lineage: Eukaryota; Metazoa; Mollusca; Bivalvia; Mytilida; Mytilidae
Source: RNAcentral
UAUAAAAUUGAGAAUGGAAAUGGGGAAUGUGCCAAAGAGACAACAACCCGAUCAUAGAAAAAAACAACAGCAGAAGGUCACCAACAGGUCUUCAAUGUAGCGAGAAAUUCCGGCACCCGGAGGCGUCCUUCAACUGGCCCCUAAACAAAUAUAUACUAGUUCAGUGACAAUGAACGCCAUACUAAUUUCCAAAUUGUACACAAGAAACUAAAAUUAAAAUAAUACAAGACUAACAAAGGCCAGAGGCUCCUGACUUGGGACAGGCGCAAAAAUGCUGCGGGGUUAAACAUGUUUGUGAGAUCUCAACCCUCCCCCUAUACCUCUAGCCAAUGUAGAAAAGUAAACGCAUAACAAUACGCAC